AGCAGCCGCGGUAAUUCCAGCUCCAAUAGCGUAUAUUAAAGUUGUUGCAGUUAAAAAGCUCGUAGUUGAAUUUCGGGAUCAGUACGCUGGUCAUGCCUUUGGUAUGCACUGGUGUCACUGGUUUCUCCCUUCUGAAGAUCCGUGAUGUCAUUAAUUUGGUGUCGCGGGGAAUCAGGACUGUUACUUUGAAAAAAUUAGAGUGUUUAAAGCAGGCUCACGCUUGAAUACAUUAGCAUGGAAUAAUGAAAUAGGACGUUUGACCCUAUUUUGUUGGUUUCUAGGAUCGACGUAAUGAUUAAUAGGGAUAGUUGGGGGCAUUAGUAUCCAAUUGUCAGAGGUGAAAUUCUUGGAUUUAUUGAAAGACUAACUACUGCGAAAGCAUUUGCCAAGGAUGUUUUCAUUAAUCAAGAACGAAAGUUAGGGGAUCGAAGACGAUCAGAUACCGUCGUAGUCUUAACCAUAAACUAUAGCCGACUAGGGAUCGGAUGAUGUUAAUUUUAUAAUGACUCU
This 510-nucleotide ribosomal RNA is filed under the name uncultured Glomus. Its description in RNAcentral is "SSU rRNA". It matches the Rfam family "Eukaryotic small subunit ribosomal RNA", at positions 569 to 1078 of the family's 1831-position model. Lineage: Eukaryota; Fungi; Glomeromycota; Glomeromycetes; Glomerales; Glomeraceae. The record is from RNAcentral.